RNAcentral lists this unclassified non-coding RNA (346 nucleotides) under soil metagenome. RNAcentral's name for it is "partial contains 5.8S ribosomal RNA, internal transcribed spacer 2, and large subunit ribosomal RNA". The stretch from base 1 to 119 matches the Rfam family "5.8S ribosomal RNA", at positions 35 to 154 of the family's 154-position model. The record is from RNAcentral.
GAUGAAGAACGCAGCGAAAUGCGAUACGUAAUGUGAAUUGCAAAUUCAGUGAAUCAUCGAGUCUUUGAACGCACAUUGCGCCCCCUGGUAUUCCGGGGGGCAUGCCUGUCCGAGCGUCAUUGCUGCCCUCAAGCACGGCUUGUGUGUUGGGCCCCGUCCUCCGAUCCCGGGGGACGGGCCCGAAAGGCAGCGGCGGCACCGCGUCCGGUCCUCGAGCGUAUGGGGCUUUGUCACCCGCUCUGUAGGCCCGGCCGGCGCUUGACGAUCAACCCAAAUUUUUUAUCCAGGUUGACCUCGGAUCAGGUAGGGAUACCCGCUGAACUUAAGCAUAUCAAUAAGCGGAGGA